Grammomys surdaster is the source of this 1394-nucleotide long non-coding RNA. RefSeq lists it as uncharacterized. The transcript has 3 exons. NCBI's taxonomy places the organism in Eukaryota, Metazoa, Chordata, Mammalia, Rodentia, Muridae. The record is from RefSeq and is a predicted model, not a curated record.
ACACCCAUACAUGUUUUUUGUGUGAUUCUAGGAAAUCUGUUACCCUACUUUCACAGUGUAUGCCCUGUCUCAUGAGAAGUAAGUAGUUUUCCAAGAUUUUCAAACGGGAAAGUUGGAAGGUUUUAGAUGUCCUGCUAUCUCAGUCUGAACAGCACAAGGCUUUUAGACAGGAACUGUGUUCAAGCCACUCCCAGACAUAGCAAUAUUUGCUGACAAUAUCUCCAAGUACCUGCAUCUCACACCGUUUAACUCAGGCUCAAUCUAAACAAUCGUGUCUGCUCCGCCUGAGCUAUCUCAGCUAAUAUUUACUGCAGACUCACAAGAUGGAUGACAGCAGACAUGUGGGAAAUCUUGAGGCUCCAUGAUUUCUAAGAAAUUCUUAUGUUUUAAAACAUCCACUAAUACUCAUUUGCCAGCUGGGUCUGAUGGUACAGGCCUAUAUAGGUGAUAUGAAAAUCUCUUUGUAUUUUAAAUAAAACAUUAAUUUUCAAAGGACUACGUAAAAUAAAACUCUCCCCCCACCCGCAGUUCCCUCACAUGUACAUAAAAUAGUGUGGAGGCCUCAUGGUAUUUGUGUCUAAGUUAUGGAGUUUACUAAGGCUCACAUCCAAGAGAGUUUAUUUAUAUACUGCUAGAGUCUGAAUAUAAUAUGAAUGUGUAAAAGCUUAUUUCCCUCUUGACAGUGUUAAGAAGUCAGCCCUAGCACAACAUAACUUGCCAUUGAAGGUCCCAUUGCUGGAUGAGAUUGAUGAAAGCAGGUCUUAUGGGACCCUAGGUAGUUCCCUCACAAUGAAGUUCUUACACUAUUUUUAUGGCUGAAACAACUUCAAGUACUGCCAAUGGAAUCUACACAUUGCAUUUCAGGAAUUUGACUCCAAAGAACAUGAAAGCGAUUGACAGCCUCAACAGACAUUUUUGGCAUGCUGAGAUACCGUCGUAAAUGACUCCCCUAGACUGCAGCAUAGGUUGUUUGUUUUUUGUUACAUGCAGGUCCCAACGCUUAACAACAGCCAGCAGAAACCAACUGGGAAUACGAAGAUCUACCAGUGAUGGAUUCUGAGGAAGUGAGGUCAAAUUCAAGACUCAACAGAACCGGGGGCUCUAGGCUCUGCUGCUCACCAGUGCCUUAUGCCUUCUGUGAAGCUUUAUUCUGGAUAGCUCAGAGUUCAAAGCAGGGAGAGAAACAACAACUAUACAGAGUAUUUCUCACUGUCAGUAGACUUGCUCAAGAGACAGAAGACCUUGACUGAAUGGGAACUAUUUACAUAAUGUUCUUGAGCACACCAAGUUGCACAGCUGGGGGUGGGGGCAUCUUGCCCUUGGCAUUCCUUGGCAGAUGGAAGUGUUCUUCCCAGUGGAGUAAACAAAGUUCUAUGAGAGCAGAGUUCACACAG